RNAcentral lists this ribosomal RNA (623 nucleotides) under uncultured bacterium. RNAcentral's name for it is "bacterial SSU rRNA". It matches the Rfam family "Bacterial small subunit ribosomal RNA", at positions 66 to 690 of the family's 1533-position model. The record is from RNAcentral.
ACGGGCCGCGCCUGAAACCUAGUGAAGGCGCCCCUAAAGGCGGACGGGUGAGUAACGCGUGGGCAACCUGCCGCGCACAGGGGGACAACGGCCGGAAACGGCCGCUACUACCGCAUAGUCCCGCGGGGCCGCAUGGCCCUGCGGGGAAAGCCCGGGGCGACCCGGACGGUGCGCGAUGGGCCCGCGUCCGAUUAGCUUGUUGGCGGGGCAGCGGCCCACCAAGGCGACGAUCGGUAGCCGGCCUGAGAGGGCGGACGGCCACACUGGGACUGAGACACGGCCCAGACUCCUGCGGGAGGCAGCAGUGGGGAAUAUUGCACAAUGGGGGGAACUUUUUUGCAGCGACGCCGCGUGGGUGAAGGAGCACCUCGGUGCGUAAAGCCCUAUCGGCAUGGAAGAAACAGACGGUACCUGACUAAGAAGCCCCGGCUAACUACGUGCCAGCAGCCGCGGUAAUACGUAGGGGGCAAGCGUUAUCCGGAUUCACUGGGUGUAAAGGGAGCGUAGACGGUGACGCAAGUCUGGAGUGAAAGCCCGUGGCCCAACCCCGGGACUGCUCUGGAAACUGCGGCGCUGGAGUACGGGAGGGGCAGGCGGAAUUCCUGGUGUAGCGGUGAAAUGCG